ACAAUGGUACUUCUGUCCAGCCACAGCCCCGGGUGGAACCGGGAUCACGCAAUGGGGACAGCUGCGGGAGAACCUCGCGGGGGUGAGAGGCCCAUGG
This 97-nucleotide non-coding RNA is filed under the name unclassified sequences. The record is from Rfam.